Molecule: long non-coding RNA, 814 nt
Organism: Passer domesticus (house sparrow)
Lineage: Eukaryota; Metazoa; Chordata; Aves; Passeriformes; Passeridae
Exons: 3
Source: RefSeq, a predicted model, not a curated record
CCAUGCUGAGCAUCCCUGGGCUGAGGGCACAUUUCCUUCUGGGGGAUCAUCUGGGCCUGGACCUGAAGAGGCACAAAGGGAUAUUUUGUGGUGCCUGAUGAGGGUUCCAGGAGUCCCGGAUGUUUUAAAUGAAUUAGCUUUUUUUGAUUAAUACGGAGAAUUUAUUCCAUAAUUAAAAUUCAGUCGUAGAAAAUCUAGAAGCAAAUAUCAGAUUGGCCCUGAACCAGGCUGACAGCGUCAGGUGAGACAGGUGGGGCAUUUCUCUCCCCUGUGCAUCACGAAGGGACAGCUCUCUCAAAGUCUUUUUUGUCCAUUUCCAAGCUCCAGGCGGUGUGGAGGGCAGGAGUUUUUCUGCUUUCUUAUGGUUGUUUUUAUCCUUUUUGCAUAUUCAUGUAUUUUUUCCUUUCUUGCUGCAGCUCUUGCUGAGAGUUUCCCCAAAACUGGUAAAAAAUUCACUUUGUUAGAGGAAAAUCUCCUGGAAUAUGCAUUCUAGGAGGCACACAUUUGUCUUAUAGUUGAUGCAAAUCGAAUGCACAUUGCUGAGGUUUGGUCAGAGAAAUAAUCUUCUGGAAUCAGCAUUUCUGGGGACGAAUAUUCAGGCUAGGAUUUUGGUGCAUGUUGAUUGCCCGGAACCCUCUUUUGGUCUUCUGUCCUGCCUUUCUUUGCUGCUGAACCUGCUGGUGAAGGUGGUGCAGCUUCCCAAGCCACGUCCAGGACUGAGGCUCUGGGAGAUGCUGAGGGUGUGUCUGCAGGGAGGACUUCUCCAGCUCCUUUGCUGAUUCCUACACAGAAGCCUGGCAACCAUCGCAGAGGU